UGUUUCUGCAGAGCCUCUUUUUGUUCCACCACCAACCUCCUCCUAUUUAACCUUCUUAUAAAUUGAUAAUUCCUGAGCAUAUAUCUCCUUUUUGCUUUAAAAUAAGAAUGUUUCAUUCCUUUUCUUCUCAUAAAAGCAAUACAUGGUCACUGUAAGAAAAUCAGAAAAUGCAAGUGAGCAAAUGAAGAGAGAAACAAGAAACAUCUGGAAAAUACUGUUCCUAGGCUCUCCCAAUGCCACGAUGCCAGCCAAAAAAACCUGACCUGUGAGGGGAGAAUGGUGUUCUUUCUCUACCAAGUUCGCUGCCUCUGGAAUUCACAGCAUGCUUUUAAUUUAAUUUCAUAGUAACUUAAUAUUCUCAGAAGAGUCCAGCCACAUGUCUCCUCUCUCAGCAGACCCAGCUCCUGUGCAGGAAGCAGUUCACAUGGCAGGGCAGGAUCGGGGCGUUUUUCUAGCUGGCAGUCUCUCCGUGGUGCUAAAAAAGCCAGACUCUUUUCACGUAGCGAAGGACCUUAUAGUUAAUUCACAGAAACUUCAUGUAUGGUGGGCUGUGGUCUUAUUUCUAGCAAAAGUGGCUGUCUCAUCUCUGAUUCUUAGCCAAUUGAAGAAAUAUUUUCAGUUUUCCACAAGGCAAGCAAUGCCAUUUUUCUGCCAGAGUUUCUACAAAUUGACUUGUAAAGGGUCUGUCACUAUGACUCCAGUCCACAAGGGUCCUGGGUGCAAAUUGGGACAGAAAACAAAUUUUCUUAGAAUUCAGCUGGUGUUCUGAAUUCUUAAGAUAAUAGUGACCACUGCACUUGACAAAUGAUUAGUGAUGUUUUAUAAUAUCUAUAAUGAUUGCCACUCAGUUACAGUCUUUGGUUGUUGGCUUGUGAAUUUCCUUCUUGAAACUUUUCAAGAAGCCCUAGACUACAGGAAAGAAAAGAGAGCUCAAAUUCAACACAGAACUCAGAGCCAGGGUCUCUCUUCCUGUUAUCAUUCUCUGCUUCCUGCAACUGUGCUUCUCAAAGACUCCCAAAGCCCCUCUGGCUCAACUCUAGAAGGAAAGCCCGAUUCUGGGCCUGGCUGCUUGUCUGCCUAGAAACCCUGUGAUAGAAUGUGUCAUUUCCCUCAUACCUUGAGGUUCUGGAUGAAUAUUUCAGAGUCCUCCAGAGAGGUGGCCAGAAAACCUGCAAAACAAAGCUGCAGUUUCCCCAACUGCUUUUCCUAGAGCCUGUGAGCCGGGAAAAAACUGAAUGCCCUUGAAACAGAAGGCCAAGAGACUCUCUGCCUGUUGUUGUUGUUCUUAUCAGAUUCAAAUUCAACAUACAUAAACAAUUUAGACCCGCACUGUCCAGUACAGACGCAACCAGCCACAAGUGGUUAUAUAAUAACAUAUUAGAUUAGUUAAAAUUGAAUAAAAUAAAUUGAACAUUCAUUUCAGCACUCACAUGAUCUAUGUUUCAAUUGCUCAUUAGCCACAUGUAGCCAGUGGCUACCAUACUAGAGAUUAUAUAUAUAGAAUAUUUCCAUCAUCGUAGAGUGUCCUAUUGGCCAAUGCUGGUCUAGACAUUUGUAAAUAUACUAUGUAUAUGAGUAUACAUGUAUAUACACAUAUAGACACGUUAUAUAUAUGUGCAUAUAUAAUGUAUAUGUAGGAUAAUUUAUCUUGCCAGCAACUGUUCAGGGCAGGAAUUAAUAGCUCAGAUCAUGCAAAUACUUGCCCACAACUGGACUCGUACUCUGAGACUCUUUGUGCUACCCUACACAGCUGUCCACUGCUGGGCUAGAGCCCAAUCUUUAGUUAUUCAUCACCUUACCUGUUUUGUUUCUGAUCUUGUUCUGAAUAAAUAGCACCAUCUUUGAGAAAUCCAGGUUAUGGCCCUCAUUACCCCGACCCGCAAAGUUGGCUUAAUGCCUGCUUUCCACCAAA
This 1912-nucleotide long non-coding RNA is filed under the name Homo sapiens (human). RNAcentral describes it as "non-protein coding lnc-DSTN-1:1". Lineage: Eukaryota; Metazoa; Chordata; Mammalia; Primates; Hominidae. The record is from RNAcentral.